Ochotona princeps (American pika) is the source of this 664-nucleotide long non-coding RNA. RefSeq lists it as uncharacterized. The record is from RefSeq and is a predicted model, not a curated record. The transcript has 4 exons. NCBI's taxonomy places the organism in Eukaryota, Metazoa, Chordata, Mammalia, Lagomorpha, Ochotonidae.
AGCCCCCCAGCCUGCUCAGUAGGGUGGCUUCUCAGCCAGGCCAGCAGUCCAUGGAGCCUCUUCGGCCCCUGGCGCAUUUCCUCAUCUACUUACUCGCCUAUUCCUGCGUUUAUUCAUGUUUGUACCUGUUGAUUUAUUUUAUCAACGUCUUCGUAAAGAACUAGGCAACUAAGUUGCAGAAAAAGUCCGAGUCACGGCUUCAGAAAUAGCUGAUUUCUUUCACACGCAGUACCCUGGACUAAGCCAAGACUCAUCUGAUGAACACAUUUCAGGACGACUGCCUCUUUUUUGUUUGUUUCUGUCCCUUAAGAACAGCAUCAAGCUCUAAUCUGCUGCUGAUCAAUUCUCCUCCUCUUGGCAGCCCAGGGAAUCCACAAGAGCCUCGGAUGGGAAAUUCCAGAGAUCCACUAGAAGAGUUGCCACCUUCCCUGGCACCUGCAGGGAGAGGCUGGUUCCUGCACAGGAGCUACACUGCUCGCAAGGUCCCUGCCCAGAGGACUGCAUCCUGUCCACGACCCAGUGACAGCAGAAGAGCCAGCAACCGCUCCGCGGCUCUCUGCCAGCUUGGCAUGGAUCGGGCCUGCCUCUCCCAGUCUAUGGCCUUUCAUCUUUUGAAUCUGAACUUUUUGAAUUGAUAAAGGUUAAAAAUUAAAACAAAAACAAA